CGAACGGGUGAGUAACACGUGGGCAACCUGCCCAAAAGAGGGGGAUAACACUUGGAAACAGGUGCUAAUACCGCAUAACCAUAGUUACCGCAUGGUAACUAUGUAAAAGGUGGCUAUGCUACCGCUUUUGGAUGGGCCCGCGGCGCAUUAGCUAGUUGGUGGGGUAAAGGCUUACCAAGGCAAUGAUGCGUAGCCGAACUGAGAGGUUGAUCGGCCACAUUGGGACUGAGACACGGCCCAAACUCCUACGGGAGGCAGCAGUAGGGAAUCUUCCACAAUGGGCGAAAGCCUGAUGGAGCAACGCCGCGUGGGUGAAGAAGGUCUUCGGAUCGUAAAACCCUGUUGUUAGAGAAGAAAGUGCGUGAGAGUAACUGUUCACGUUUCGACGGUAUCUAACCAGAAAGCCACGGCUAACUACGUGCCAGCAGCCGCGGUAAUACGUAGGUGGCAAGCGUUAUCCGGAUUUAUUGGGCGUAAAGGGAACGCAGGCGGUCUUUUAAGUCUGAUGUGAAAGCCUUCGGCUUAACCGGAGUAGUGCAUUGGAAACUGGGAGACUUGAGUGCAGAAGAGGAGAGUGGAACUCCAUGUGUAGCGGUGAAAUGCGUAGAUAUAUGGAAGAACACCAGUGGCGAAAGCGGCUCUCUGGUCUGUAACUGACGCUGAGGUUCGAAAGCGUGGGUAGCAAACAGGAUUAGAUACCCUGGUAGUCCACGCCGUAAACGAUGAAUGCUAAGUGUU
This 738-nucleotide ribosomal RNA is filed under the name uncultured bacterium. Its description in RNAcentral is "bacterial SSU rRNA". It matches the Rfam family "Bacterial small subunit ribosomal RNA", at positions 99 to 824 of the family's 1533-position model. The record is from RNAcentral.